Molecule: ribosomal RNA, 645 nt
Filed under: Bacillus sp. 17870
Lineage: Bacteria; Bacillati; Bacillota; Bacilli; Caryophanales; Bacillaceae
Description: bacterial SSU rRNA
Rfam family: Bacterial small subunit ribosomal RNA
Source: RNAcentral
GUCGAGCGAAUGGAUUAAGAGCUUGCUCUUAUGAAGUUAGCGGCGGACGGGUGAGUAACACGUGGGUAACCUGCCCAUAAGACUGGGAUAACUCCGGGAAACCGGGGCUAAUACCGGAUAACAUUUUGAACCGCAUGGUUCGAAAUUGAAAGGCGGCUUCGGCUGUCACUUAUGGAUGGACCCGCGUCGCAUUAGCUAGUUGGUGAGGUAACGGCUCACCAAGGCAACGAUGCGUAGCCGACCUGAGAGGGUGAUCGGCCACACUGGGACUGAGACACGGCCCAGACUCCUACGGGAGGCAGCAGUAGGGAAUCUUCCGCAAUGGACGAAAGUCUGACGGAGCAACGCCGCGUGAGUGAUGAAGGCUUUCGGGUCGUAAAACUCUGUUGUUAGGGAAGAACAAGUGCUAGUUGAAUAAGCUGGCACCUUGACGGUACCUAACCAGAAAGCCACGGCUAACUACGUGCCAGCAGCCGCGGUAAUACGUAGGUGGCAAGCGUUAUCCGGAAUUAUUGGGCGUAAAGCGCGCGCAGGUGGUUUCUUAAGUCUGAUGUGAAAGCCCACGGCUCAACCGUGGAGGGUCAUUGGAAACUGGGAGACUUGAGUGCAGAAGAGGAAAGUGGAAUUCCAUGUGUAGCGGUGAAA